Molecule: long non-coding RNA, 3598 nt
Organism: Cornus florida
Lineage: Eukaryota; Viridiplantae; Streptophyta; Magnoliopsida; Cornales; Cornaceae
Exons: 3
Source: RefSeq, a predicted model, not a curated record
CUUGGCAAGUUUCUAGCCACAAUCUGUAUAACUCCUCACGUAAAAGAGAGCUUCAGCUGAUGGGUUCCUCAUGUUAAUUCCAUUUUCUUCUUCCUUUAACCAAUUUCGUCCUCCAUUAGAGGGGUUUUUGACGCACUAUUUAGAGAGACUUGUAGUGAGAGUUUGAUGUUGAGGUGUGAAUGAAAAAUGACCUAGAGGGAAUGAGGUUUCCAUUGAUAUAGUAUAUGUGGUCAUUCCUUAAUCCAUGGGUUUCAGAAAGUGCCUUGAAAAGAGGAGGAUCUUAGUUGUGCUUCAAUGGAGAGUUCUUCAUCUUCAUCAUCUUGUUGGUGGGUUCGAGCUAUCCUUGGAAUAGUUUGGAGGUGUUUGUAUCUAGGGUUUGAACUCCCUUGUGGUUAUGGACAAGAGGUCGUAGAGGGCAUUCCUCCACAGCCAGGGACGGAUGCUGGGUUUUAUUUUGUUGUAUAUCUUUGUGUAAACAGAGAAUGUAUAUUUUGAAACCAACAUGUAUAUUUAUAAAUAUUCUUCCAAACAUAUUUUGUUUAAUUAUUGUAAUUAAAGGAUUAUGGGGUUUUACGUAUGAAGCCUACUUUUAUAUUUUCAGAUAAUGGUGGACAGGGAAAUGGAUUUUGUGUGCGUGCGUUGGGACAGGGUACUUUAUUUAGCAUGACUUUUGAAAUCAGGGGAUUUUUUUUAUUAUCAGCCUUGAGUAUUAAAGUUUUAUCUAAAAUUUUUGGACAGUGUUCCAGGGCUUGGUCAGACGUUUCUGAAUAUGAGUAUUUCUUUGUUCUGUUUUAUGUUCACAACCUGGAUUACGAUCUAGGGUCGUGACAAGAGUGGUAUCAGAGCAUGGUUCGUCUAACCUAGGGACGACGUGUAGUGGUCUUUCUACGAUUAAGGGUUUUUUGGUUUGUAUUGUCUCACAUGCUUACGUGCUUAUGUGUUUUUUUGUUUUGCAAGCAUGUCUACUUGCUUACGUGGCUAUGUGUUUAUUUGGUUUGGGCUUUGCAAGCAUGCUUAUGUGCUUACGUAAUAAUUGUUUAAUUGUUUAAAGAUGAAGCAUGCUAUGUGUUUAACGACUUGUAUCUAUGUGAGUCAGUUUGGGACUGUGGAUAGUGUCAUUGUUAUUGACUUGUAUUCCGCUAUAGUAUGUCAUCUCGUAAGAAAGGUCAGGCACUUAGAGGUCUGGGAAAUAAGUGGUAGGACUGACGCUAGUAGCGUUGUUGUUUGUGGAUGGCUUAUCAGCAUAAGUAUGUGUGGGUAUCAUGGCAUUUUGCAUCGUUGUCUGAUGUCCUCAUUGGACACGACUUAGCUGGUAUUGUGAGGUUCUACCAAUGAGGAUAUAGUUUUGAUGUGCACUGAUUAGUGUUUAGCAUAUGUGGGUGUUUCAUGCAGGUAAUAACGGAACGUUCAGAUGUGAUUAGUGGUAAAGAGUCCAGAGCUGGAUCUUGAUGUUAGAAAAGUUUUGAUAGCAGUUGAUAUUAGAAUUGAGUCUUAGUGACUUGGGAUUUAUUAAAAGUGGGUCAGUGACAAUGUAAUUGUUGUUUGGGUAUGGGAUGGCCAAAUGGACCGGCCGGACAUUGUGGACCAUACUCAGCUUUAAACGUAAUAUCAAGACACUGACAAGGAUGACGAUUGGUGUGUCAUAGGAGACACUUACGGUUUUAGGAGACGUCAUAGUUGUCUCAGGAAAAUGGUAUGCUAUGGGACUGUAUUAGGCACUGGUGAUGCCACAUUACAUAUAAGGACAUUGUGGGCGGGCGAUAGUUGCCAACUAUGCUACCAUACUGACGAGUAUGUGUGGGCGGGCUCUAGACGCCGACGAGGCUACCGUUCUUAUGAGUAUAUGUUGACAGACACUAGUCGCUAGUUAGACUAAUAGAUCAUGGUAAGGUGUAUUCUUUAAUGAUUAUGAUGGUUGAGGAUUGACAGUAUUUCAUUGGUGUUAUACUGGAUUGGUGGAUUGCCACAUUGGUAUUCGUGACAGGGAUUGUGUUAUGGAUUUCUUAAUUUUAUAAAAUGCCAUGAUUAUGAAUUCCUUGGUUGGAAUAUGGAUAAGGAUGGCGACGAUAAUAGAGUAAUAUGGUGAUAUUUUGGGUUAUCAUUUAAUUGACUUGCAUUUCGGUUGAAUACCGGUUGUUAAUAAGGAUUGAUUGAUGCUAGAGAUUGAUUUUACCUUAACUGGUGAUAAGAGUAGACGUCAGGAAUGAUGUUAUGAGUAUCUUGAAAGUUAUGAUUUGUGUUAGCUCGGUUUUGUGGGAUUUAAAUCCAUUAUUGCUUGAGGGCACAGACUUGUCAGGCUUUAGAUUCGCAUAUUAGAGUCAGUUGAUAGUAGAUGCAUUUUAUCAAGAGAGUUUGUGUCCACUUUUCCUCGUUAGUAUAUGGAGAGUUGGAGGUGAUUUUAUAGGUUGUUGUAUUGUUGUAUGAUGUGAAUCCAUAGGCUUUGCAGAUUGUGUGGUGAUGCUGGUUAAAGUUCUUGGUGAGUUCUGUGAGUGUGAUAGGCACAUCAUCUUUUCUUUUUAAGGGGGGUAGAUUUCGAGGAUGAAAUCUUUUUAAGAAGGGUAGACUGUGAUGUCUAUCACUUUUUCAUUUUUUUCCUGGGCAUUUCUCGUUUUGGCAUAAGUGAUUAUUUCAUUACCUCGGGUUACGUGUGUUUGGGAUUGCAUGUCACGAAGGUUUUAUAGUGAUUUAGAGUGUUUCAUGGAGUUUGGAAAGUAUGGAUAUGCUAGUUGAACCGUUUGGACAGUUUAUGAAUUUUCGGGCCGAGUGACUCGUGUGGGUCCCACGCCGGAAUUUUUUGGAUUUUGAAUUAUUUUCCUAAUUGAAAAAUAAUUAUUUUGGAUGUCAUUUAAAAAAUUCAUGAGGGUGGAUUGGUCAUUUGAUUAUGUGCUAGCAAGGUUGUAGUUUAAUGAAGAGGUGGGGGCAUUUUGGUUAUUUCCUUGGUCCACCUUUUGACCCUUUAUGAGUUUGACUCUUAAGCAUGCACUUGGCAAGUUUCUAGCCACAAUCGGUAUGACUCAUCACGUAGAAGAGAGCUUCAGCUGAUGGGUUCCUCAUGUUAAUUCCAUUUUCUUCUUCCUUUAACCAAUUUCGUCCUCCAUUAGAGGGGUUUUUGAAGCACCAUUUAGAGAGACUUGUAGUGAGAGUUUGAUGUUGAGGUGUGAAUGAAAAAUGACCUAGAGGGAAUGAGGUUUCCAUUGAUAUAGUAUAUGUGGUCAUUCUUUAAUCCAUAGGUUUCAGAAAGUGCCUUGAAAAAAGGAGGAUCUUAGUUGUGCUUCAAUGGAGAGUUCUUCAUCUUCAUCAUCUUGUUGGUGGGUUGGAUCUAUCCUUGGAAUAGCUUGGAGGUCUUUGUUCCUAGGGUUUGAACUCCCUUGAGGUUGGAUUGUCUAAGCCUCAAUUCCUUUGCCUUUAGUUAUGGACAAGAGGUCGUGGAGGGCAUUCCUCCACAGCUAUGGACGGAUGUUGGGUUUUAUUUUGUUGUAUAUCUUUGUGUAAAUAGAGAAUGUAUAUUUUGAAACCAACAUGUAUAUUUAUAAAUAUUCUUCCAAACAGAUUUUGUUUAAUUAUUGUAAUUAAAGUAUUAUGGGGUUUUACGUAUGAA